RNAcentral lists this ribosomal RNA (253 nucleotides) under uncultured bacterium. Its description in RNAcentral is "partial 16S ribosomal RNA". It matches the Rfam family "Bacterial small subunit ribosomal RNA", at positions 524 to 776 of the family's 1533-position model. The record is from RNAcentral. RNAcentral also lists the same sequence under 1 other name.
UACAGAGACUGCAAGCGUUAUUCGGAUUCACUGGGCGUAAAGGGUGCGCAGGCGGCCAGGUGUGUGAGGCGUGAAAGCCCGGGGCUUAACCCCGGAAUUGCACCUCAAACUACAUGGCUAGAGCAUUGGAGAGGGUAGCGGAAUUCACGGUGUAGCAGUGAAAUGCGUAGAUAUCGUGAGGAACACCAGAGGCGAAGGCGGCUACCUGGACAAUUGCUGACGCUCAGGCACGAAAGCGUGGGGAGCAAAAGGG